Molecule: ribosomal RNA, 275 nt
Filed under: uncultured bacterium
Lineage: Bacteria
Description: partial 16S ribosomal RNA
Rfam family: Bacterial small subunit ribosomal RNA
Source: RNAcentral
CUUUCUCCGCCGGCGACCGGCGCACGGGUGAGUAACACGUAUGCAACCUGCCCCUGUCAGGGGGACAACCCGCCGAAAGGCGGGCUAAACCCGCGUACAUGCCACCGGGGCAUCCCGGAGGCAGGAAAGGCUUCGGCCGGACAGGGAUGGGCAUGCGGCGCAUUAGGCAGUAGGCGGGGUAACGGCCACCUAACCGACGAUGCGUAGGGGUUCUGAGAGGAAGGUCCCCCACACUGGUACUGAGACACGGACCAGACUCCUACGGGAGGCAGCAG